UAAACUUUACAUGUAUUCACGAAUUUUGGAGAUGGAAAAAAAUUCAUCACAAUAUAGGAAGGAAUUCUGUUUGUUCUGCUGUUACUUCUGUAUGAUGAAUUCAUUUGCUGUUGAUGAUUGAGAGGAGAAUUUAUAGCAUGUAUAAGAUUUCACACCACAUUUGGCUCUAUUGACCUUGCUUUCCCCCUUUAUUCUGUGAAAUGUGAAAUUUGUAAAUCAUGUUGAUGUUGAACCAGAACAGGACAUAGGCAUAACCCUCCCUUAACUGGAAGGACCUCCGCCUUCAACAACCUGCCAAUUAACUGUGAGCCUAUCCCUGCCCUUCUACUUUGUGGUGUUAAAAGUUUCUUGUUCAGUUAUUUAUCAGCACCCAUAGGAUCUAAAUUUAACAUGGCCCUUUUUAUUUGGGUCGAGGGUCACAGGUCAUCUUGGGUUAAAAAUCUUAGGAGCAAAGAAUUAAGGAAGAUUGGAUAUGGCAACUAGACGUGUUUGUAUGAAAAUAUGGAAGUUUAGAUUGAUUUAUGUGCUUGUAUAGAAUUUCUGCAAAUUGCUGCUUAGAAAGAAGUAGCCAUGCCCCUGUGUUUGUCAUCCACUAUUUUGAAUGAUUUUAUUUCAUAAUACUAAGUCUUGUAUAUGAAUUAAUAAUUUAUGUAUUUGAAAUGAUAAUUUAUAUCUACAUUUCUCUAA
Molecule: long non-coding RNA, 687 nt
Organism: Lotus japonicus
Lineage: Eukaryota; Viridiplantae; Streptophyta; Magnoliopsida; Fabales; Fabaceae
Exons: 2
Source: RefSeq, a predicted model, not a curated record